GAAUUCUUAACAGUAAAGUUCUGUAAUUGAGACAGAAUUCCCAAAUAAAGUCAAGAGUAAAAUUCAGAUAGAGGAGCAGUUAUACAUCAGUGGGAAAUUUGGUUGGCAGAAAAAUUACCAGGUCAUAUAACUUAAUGAUAGACGUGAAGUCUUAUUUAAAAUGAUUCUCUAAAAUUGAAGAAUUGGAUUAAGGGGGCCUUGUUUGGCUGAUUUUCAUACUUUUUCCUCUUAGUCUACAGGUUGGCUGCAUAGAAGAAAAAGGUAGAGUUAUUUAUAAUCUUGUAAAUCUUGGACUUUGAGUCAUCUAUUUUCUUUUACAGUCAUCGAAUACUUUUGGAAAUAAGUUAAUAUAUGCCUUUUGAGCUGUCUUGACGUUCAAAGAUAUAAAAUAUUAAAUAUAUUUUAAUUUUGUGCCCUUGCAGAUUGAUCACUUAUUCAUUAGUAAUUUACCAGAGAUUGUGGUGGAGUUAUUGAUGACGUUACAUGAGCCAGCAAAUUCUAGUGCCAGUCAGAGCACUUACCUCUAUGACUUUUCAGGGGAUUUGGAUCCUGCUCCUAAUCCACCUCAUUUUCCAUCACAUGUGAUUAAAGCAACAUUUGCCUAUAUCAGCAAUUGUCAUAAAACCAAGUUAAAAAGCAUUUUAGAAAUUCUUUCCAAAAGCCCUGAUUCCUAUCAGAAAAUUCUUCUUGCCAUAUGUGAGCAAGCAGCUGAAACAAAUAAUGUUUAUAAGAAGCACAGAAUUCUUAAAAUAUAUCACCUGUUUGUUAGUUUAUUACUGAAAGAUAUAAAAAGUGGCUUAGGAGGAGCUUGGGCCUUUGUUCUUCGAGACGUUAUUUAUACUUUGAUUCACUAUAUCAACCAAAGGUAAAUAACAUAUUUAGACCAAUAUAUAAGCAGUCUUUCUAUCCUGUUCUUCCUGUUUGUUUGCUUUGUUUUGUUUUGUUUUGAGACAAAGACUCACUCUGUCUGCCCAGGCUGGGUGCAGUCACGGCUCACUGCAUCCUCAACCUCCUGGGUUCAGAUUAUCCUUCCUCCUCACCCUGCUGGGUAGCUGGGACUACAGGAGCAUACCACCACGCCUGACUAAUUUUUUGUGUUUUUUGUAGAGGUGGGGUUUCACCAUAUUGCCCAGGGUGGUCUCAAACUCCUGGGCUCAAGUGAACUGUCAGCCUCAGCCUCCCAGUGUGCUGGGAUUACAGGCAUGAGCUACUAUGCCCAACCUAUCCUGUUCUUUUAAUUGAAAGUUUAUAUGCUUCUAAGAGGUAGAUACCAGAAUGUUGCUUUCUGAAUUUUGCUUUUUAAGAUGUCUAUUAUAUUUACCUAUUAGUUUUUAAAAAUUGCACUACUUGCCUGGGAAACAUAGCAGACCUCGUUUCUACUAAAAAUUUUUUAAAAAAGAAAAUUAGGGCAAGGUGUGGUAGCUCACACCUAUAAUCCCAGCACUUUGGGAGGUUGAGGUAGGUAGACUGCUUGAGCCCAGGAGUUAGAGACCAGCCUGGGCAACAUGAUGUGAAACCCCAUCUCUACAAAAAUUUUUUUAAAAAUUAGCCAGGGAUUGUGGCAUGCACCUGUAGUCUCACCUACUCCGGAGGCUGAGGUGGGAGGAUCGCUUGCACUCAGGAGGCAGAGGUUGCAGGUUACAGUGAGCAAAGAUUGUGCCACUACACUCCAGCCGGGGAGAUAGAGCGAGACUCUUGUCUCAAAAAAAAAAAAAA
Molecule: small RNA, 1716 nt
Filed under: Pan troglodytes (chimpanzee)
Lineage: Eukaryota; Metazoa; Chordata; Mammalia; Primates; Hominidae
Description: retained intron
Source: RNAcentral